CAGCCGCCACGGUAAUACGUAGGGUGCAAGCGUUGUCCGGAAUUAUUGGGCGUAAAGAGCUCGUAGGCGGUUUGUCGCGUCUGCUGUGAAAUCCCGAGGCUCAACCUCGGGCUUGCAGUGGGUACGGGCAGACUAGAGUGCGGUAGGGGAGAUUGGAAUUCCUGGUGUAGCGGUGGAAUGCGCAGAUAUCAGGAGGAACACCGAUGGCGAAGGCAGAUCUCUGGGCCGUAACUGACGCUGAGGAGCGAAAGCGUGGGGAGCGAACAGGAUUAGAUACCCCCGUAGUCCCUGUCUCUUAUAC
Molecule: ribosomal RNA, 301 nt
Filed under: uncultured bacterium
Lineage: Bacteria
Description: partial 16S ribosomal RNA
Rfam family: Bacterial small subunit ribosomal RNA
Source: RNAcentral